RNAcentral lists this ribosomal RNA (468 nucleotides) under uncultured bacterium. Its description in RNAcentral is "partial 16S ribosomal RNA". It matches the Rfam family "Bacterial small subunit ribosomal RNA", at positions 28 to 507 of the family's 1533-position model. The record is from RNAcentral.
GACGAACGCUGGCGGCGUGCUUAACACAUGAAAGUCGAACGGAAAGGCCCUGCUUUUGUGGGGGGCUCGAGUGGCGAACGGGUGAGUAACAGGGGAGUAACCUGCCCUUGACUUGGGGAUAACUUCGGGAAACUGGGGCAAAUACCGGAUAGGAGCUCCUGCUGAAUGGUGGGGGUGGGAAAGUUUCGGCGGUUGGGGAUGGACUCGCGGCUUAUCAGCUUGUUGGUGGGGUAGUGGCUUACCAAGGCUUUGACGGGUAGCCGGCCUGAGAGGGUGACCGGCCACAUUGGGACUGAGAUACGGCCCAGACUCCUACGGGAGGCAGCAGUGGGGAAUAUUGCACAAUGGGCGGAAGCCUGAUGCAGCAACGCCGCGUGCGGGAUGACGGCCUUCGGGUUGUAAACCGCUUUCGCCUGUGACGAAGCGUGAGUGACGGUAAUGGGUAAAGAAGCACCGGCUAACUACGUG